CAAAGGGGAAACAACCUCUCUCUUAAGAGGUAUAUGAAGGAGAGCUUCUGAGUUGAAAACCCAAUGCAGUCACAUGUCUAUGAGAAUGGGAAACAUAGCAAAAGAAAUGAGGACAGACAAAGAAAAGCAGAAGAAAGCAGAAUGGGAAGUACAUCUUCACUGUAGAUCUUUGUCCUAUAUCUUUUACAUUUCAAACUUUCCUCUAUCAUGAAGAGAGAUGGUAGAUGAUAGACUAUGGAUAUCCACACAGAUAGAUACAUGGUAGACAUUCAGCUAAGUAAGUUUACAACAAAUCCAUUAUAAUAGCCUGUACAAUUCCAUUUCCUGCUGCUAACUAGAUACAUAUAGCUGUGGUUUUACCAAUAAAGGAGGUUUAUUAUCUCACUAUUCUAGAGGAUGAAACUCCAAGAUUGGGUAGUUUCUCUGUUUAGCCUUUGAAGAGGGACCUCUUGUCUUCUUUUCAACAUUCUUGAAGACAUCAUGAGAGGAACACAGCAAGAAAGGAGGAUCUCACCAUGAGACAGAAAGUCAGAGACUAGAGAACUGGCUCCCUCUUUUAUGAAACCUUGCUCUAGUGAGAACUGACAUUGGAAGUGCAACUUUAAUCCAUUUAAAAGAUGCUGCCUACAAAGACUUAAUUUCUUCCCACUAAUCUGCCUCCCUCUUACAGCUCCCAUUGCAUCAGUACCACUAUACCAAGGACCAGACUUCAAUCACAUAACCUUCAGACAAAUCACUCAAAUCUUACCACUGCUCUAAGCAGUUUCUAUUAGGAGAUUAUCUUAAAGUUUUUCAAUUUUUUCCCCAAGAAUUAUACCUUUGUCCCUCUUAGCCUACAUGUAUCAGUACACUUCUUCACUGCAUCUUACCCCGGGAGAGAACUUUCUGAUCUCAAUGUGUCACUCCCAGUAUUUUGUAGUUCUUUAUUACACCUCCCAAAGUUUCCAUCCUAUAACUCAAUUCUAGUUCAGUCAUCACUAUAGAAAUACAGAACAUUAUACGACUAUGUGAAUAUAUCUAUUUCUCAGCUGUCCUUCAACAAAUUUACAUUGACAUUCCACUUUAUAAGAUGCUUAAAUUCUCCCAUCGCUUCCCCAGUUGCUGGCCAGCAGAGAAGACUCCUGUGGGCAGGCUUCUCCACCAAAACACACCAUCGGACCCUCCAAUCUACAAGACCCACACCCUACUGCAAACAUACCUAUCCCCCUGCGACCCCAGUGGUUUCCAGAGACAGGGAAUCCACCAGCUGUCAUUGGAACAAGAGAAUGAAGGUUGAAGAGCAGUCAUUUCAAUUCUGUUUCAGUCACUUAAGAAGACGAUGGGCUGUGACACUGCCAAACUGAACAGGCCCUGCAACGUCAAGUUAUGUCAGGGAUGGGUCCUUCAAUGAAUCUGUAAUGGCUCUACCAGGCUAAGAUUAUUGUAACGAUGACCAAGUUGCCUCCAGUUGGAGCCUAGUUGCACUUUUCACCGAGUAACUCAACCAGCCAAUGCAGGAGCUGCUCUUUGUGUUGCUGAAGAGAACAGAAGAGUUCAUGCUCCAGGGAUGGCUUCUGCUCCCACUUAAUCAUCUUUGCUUGGACCAGCAUAUUUCUCCUGUGUUUAUCUUUGAUUCUUGGGAAAAAUUAUAUCACCCACAUCUUCAAGAGCUGAUUAAGAGGAGAAGGAGACAUCAACUUGUCAUAGCCAGGCUAGCAGUCUUUAGCUUAACUUUCUAGUGCAUAAGCUCCUUAGAGAAAUGAAGCUUCACUAUGGGGUCCCUGUUUGCUCUUACAUCAUUCUACUCUGCCACCUCAGAGACUCCAAUGUACUUUAACGACAUACCCAUAUGUUAACAUUUUAUUAAAAUCCACUAUUCAAUGUAUCCUAAGCAUUGUGCAUCCUGGAAGCAGAUGUUUUAUUUCCCUGGCUGUCUGCAGCCGAACAAUGUUGGCUGAGCAAUAAUUACCCAAAAGCAAAUAAUGAAUGAAUAGCUGAAAAAAUAAUGAGGCAGAGUGUAGAAGCCAAACGCUGCUGCAGGUGAUUCAGUACUAGAGAAGCUGCUUUGGACUAAGUACUGAACAGGGAAUAACUGAACUAAUUUGGGCAAUAACAGUAGAAAAAGCAGAUAAAUACAGAAAAGAUUUCUCCAAAUAUCCCACUCUAUGUUUGAUGGGAAUGUAUGUGGAUAUCAUAUAUUCAAUAAGGCUCUUAAUAUAUGAAAGACUACAUAACUCAGAUUUUACCACACUCAUUGGAAAUUAGUCCAUAAAUACUAACAAAUUAGCACAUGCUGAGAACUUUAUAAAUUCCGUAAGAAUUACUAAAGAUUUGCAAAUCAAGGAUGUCAUGAAUAUACAGACAAGAUAGUGAUGUUAUACAUUAACAUUUGAGUACACGUACAUUUGGAAUCUAAUGAGGUCUAAACUCAUCAGUAUUUACUAUGAUGAGUAAAGAUUCAAUCUCAUUGUCAACAGGACCUCAGCCAAAACUACCAAGAGAGAAAAGUCUGCAUUCCUAAAUUUAUGUCAUGAAACUUAAUGUGCUGGGAGUUAGAGACUGAGUAUUUUACUGUGAUAUUAAGUUGAGCAAAUUAUAUUUUUCAAGUGCAAGAUAGAUUGCUGAAUAGACAUUCAGGAAGCAAUUGUUUACUAUAAUACUAUUGGCAUAUUGCUGAUUUUUCUUUUUGAAAUUCACAAUUUUAGAUGAAUACAAAAUUUAAACUUUACAUUGUUUAUCAGUUUCUCAUAUUUAACCACAUCACAACUAUUAUGACUAGUUCAGGGAGAUUUUUAUUUUCCCAUACAUCACCUAAAACACAUUAUAAAUAUUUCAACUAUAAUUCCAUUCUAAUGAGCUAUUAUUUUUUCCACAGUUUAUAUCAUAAAAGUGAUAUGGGUAUAAUAUGUUAACUUUUGUAUGUAAUGUAGAUUGUGGAGCUAAAAUUUUAAGAAAAAAAAUGCAUCAGAUUUUUCUCAAGCAUAAAAGGUGAUUUUAAUUUAGUUUAUUUUCAGUUUUUGUGUGGAGAAUUAAAUUCCUUUUUUUUUUGUGUAAAGCAAGUGACACAGAUCCAAAUGAUUGGUUUUGAAUUUGCCUUUGUACUACAGUAUCCUCAGUUGCCAAAUUUACCUAUCUUGCAAUGAAUUAUUCACAGGUCUGUGACAGCAAAACUCUAACAAAUUUCAAAAUUAAAUUUUAAUUAAUUGCAUUACAAAUGGAAAAAAAUAGUCUACAUACAAGUCAAAAAACACAAAAUCAAAGAAUUUUCCGAGAAUGAACAUACAUUACUAGCACUAGCACUCACAUUAGCUAACAGAACAUUCUUCACAUACCAAGUCCUCCUUUCAACCACUUCAACAGCUAAACUCAAUCUCUUCUAUAAACAUGACAAUACAGAACAAAUGUGCUUUAAGAGACAAGUUUCUGGGUUGGAGAGGUGGCUCAGCAGUUCAUAGUACUUGUUGCUGUUACAGAGGACCAGGGUAUAGUUCUUAGCCCUCAUAUAGUGGUGCACACUCAUCUUUCACUCAAAUUUCAGUGGGAUUCCAUUCCCUUUUAUGACCUUCUCAGCCACCAGCAUACACAUGGCACAUAGACAUACAUGUAAGAAAAACACCAACAUGCAUAAAGUGAAAAUAAAUAAACCAAAACUAAAUUUAAACAGGAUUCAAAGAUAAUUAUCAUUUUUAUUAAAGACAUGAUAAUUCCCCCCAAAUAUUUGCCUGUAUUUAUUAGUCUUCUUUCAUAAUUAUCAUAUAAACUCACCAUUCUGCACAUUAAUAUUGUGUUUACUGAUUUAUCAACCUAAAGUGUUUUUAUGUCUUAUAAUAUCUCUAUAUAUUCAUGAUAUCUUAAUUAUGCUUAGCAAUCUACCUGAAGUCUUCACAUUAAAAAAUGCAUAUAUCUAUACUGUCUGGUGUAUCUACAAAGAGAGAAAAUGGGCUCAGCUAUGUAUACAUAACAUACACAUAACAUAAACCUAUAAUACCUACAUACAAUGAUAACAUUGAAGAAGAGUUUAUGGAUUUGAGAUUAUUUCAUUUUAUAAACAGCUAAUUAUUUAAGAUUUUAUUAGUUUUCAUGGCUUCAAUUACUCCUGUGUGAGUGAACACAGUGGUAUCGUGUGUAGUAUGUAUAAGACCUAAGCAAACACUCUACCACUGAACUACAUUCUAAAACUUCAAAAUAUUUUUCUAAUCUGAACCAUUUAUUUUUAGGGAAAAUAUGAUGGAAUCAACAAAUAAUAUAUUUUAGGAACAACAUUUUGCAUCUCUCCUGGCACUUUAUUUUGGCCUAUGCAGUGUGCCAACAUUUCAAUAAAAUACUGAAGGUUGAAAAAAAUAGAACAGCAGCCUAAAGACCAGAGGCAACUCUUGGGUUAAGUGUUGCUUAUGCAGAUUAUGUAAGUAUUCAUUUAUGUAAAUAUUUUGGGGCAUGUACAAGUGUGUGUGUGCAUGCACAUCAGCCAGAUGUUGGAAAAGUCUUUUGAUUUGUCAUGAGAUAUAAAAACAAAGCCCAGAUAGAACUUGUGUGGUGUUCAAUGGUUACAGUUUGGCUUCACAUGGGUACACAAAUUUUCACAAUGGAGAUUUAUUAUAGGAUUUAUCAACAUUUUUAAUGGUUCAAAUGAUGCUACAGUUUGGUUGUGAGUUCUUAAGCAUAUAUUAUCUGGUAUAGUGUUUGGUGACAUGCAAACAUUAUAGCACUCCGAUAGAUACUUGACAUAUAUAUAAUAAUUUACUGAUGAUCCAUACCAGGGGUAACAUGUAAUGUUCAGCACAACAACAUAAGAAUUUCCUACUAUAUCUAUCAGGAGUUAUCAUAAUCUAUUUCAGAAAAAUGAAGUAUAGACUACAUCAGGAAAAAUGAAAAUGAAAGUAAAUUCCAGAACUUAGUUCUAGAAGGAAAUUCACAUGCACAUGAUAUAUCUGAUAUAAAGAAGAGCAACUUACAAAGAACAAUGACCAUGAUAAAUUCACUAGUAAUGUACAAGACAGAUAAGAUUGUGUUUAAUGUGAAUAACUUUCCCAUGGAUAAGAAUGUUAUUAUGUACAGAGAAAGUUUUCCAA
Molecule: non-coding RNA, 5048 nt
Organism: Peromyscus maniculatus bairdii (prairie deer mouse)
Lineage: Eukaryota; Metazoa; Chordata; Mammalia; Rodentia; Cricetidae
Source: RefSeq, a predicted model, not a curated record